UUCCUGACUAGAUUAAUUCUGUUUUCACAACAAAUUCGUUCCUUGACUAAAAUUUCACGGGCAUUUGUCAAGUAGAAACUUAUUUCGAUAUGGGUCCCCAUUUGCCUAUGGGGGAUGUAAAUGGGUUUUGAGAGCUAGUUUUGUCGUUGGCCCCAUCUGUCUUCAGCUGUUGAUAUUAAUGAAACCAUCAACAUGAAACUUUGAUGGAGAGGGUCAACUUCGAAAUAUUGGAACUAAAGUAGGAGGAGAUCAAGCAUUCAUUAAAGUUUAAAUAUGUCAAAAGUAACUAUUUGAAUUAGAAUUGGAUUAAAUGUAAGAAUGCAUUUACAAUAUUCUUUGAAAUUUUUGGUUUCCCCAGAUCAUCAAAACUAAGAAAAAGGAUGAAUCCCAGUAAAGUACUUCCAACCAUUGUUCAGAAACCCAAAAACUUCACUUGAAAUGAUGUCCAUCCGGGAUGUGUGAAUUCAAAGACUUAGAUGCCUUUACUUGACUCGACUCAAUAUUUUUAUAAAUAAAUUAAUAAUGUUAUCUCAAUCUUGUGCAGCUGGUUAGAUGCAUCUCCUCAUUGGAACCUGAUUUCACCCACUCUCUCUGUCUAUCUGACUGUCUGUUUGUCUUUAAGAACAGCAUGGGCGAGUGAAGGAGAUAACUCGGGUAUUCGAGGUUGUCAACGGUGAAUUAUCUUAUGUGGUUCAGAUGGCUACCCAUUUGCAUGAUCUUCAACCACAUCUAAAAGCAUUACUCAAGAAGCUUUGAUGCAUUUGUUUUAAGACAAAAAAUGAUAAUUCAGUGUCUCUAACAUCUACAAUGAGAGCAGCUGCUGGUAAUGUAGAUACUCUGUUUUGGCAUCUAUGUAUGCCUUAAAGGGCUCAUGAAUUAAUGCAAUGGGUGUCUUUUGGCCUUUGGUUU
Molecule: long non-coding RNA, 909 nt
Organism: Magnolia sinica
Lineage: Eukaryota; Viridiplantae; Streptophyta; Magnoliopsida; Magnoliales; Magnoliaceae
Exons: 2
Source: RefSeq, a predicted model, not a curated record